Long non-coding RNA from Microplitis demolitor, 1450 nucleotides. RefSeq lists it as uncharacterized. Lineage: Eukaryota; Metazoa; Arthropoda; Insecta; Hymenoptera; Braconidae. The record is from RefSeq and is a predicted model, not a curated record. The transcript is spliced from 3 exons.
AAGUGAAACUUUCAAUCAACUUAACGUCAUUGUCUGACGUUAAUACUUCAGGGCCCUGAUAGCCACCCUAACUAUAAAUUAACUACAAGCUACUGCCGUAUUUUAAAAGUAACUUAAAGGCAAGUGUUGGAAGAAAGCAGUUACCUUUAAGUCGACAGUACAUUGUCCGCAACUUUCUAUUCAAUUUGACUACAAGUAUUAAGCCAUUGCUCUACAACACUACGUAGAGCAAUGGCUGGCUAUCAGGGUGGUUAUCAGGGAAACUUUUACGAAAAAAAAACAGUCGAUAAUGUUUAUUCUUACCAUUUCAGAAAGUGAGCAAAUUUAUACACAAAAUUGUCUACAAUUUGAGGUCAACUUUUGAAGUAAAUUUGCAUUCUAAUUCGGACAGUAACUUUACUUUAAAUUCAAUGGCAAGUUGCAUACUAAUUGUCAUAAAAAAUGGAAAAGUCCGAAAUUGACGGAAAUUCGACAGAAAAUUCAAUGAAACUUUUAUACCGUAAAGUUUUGCUCAAGCAAACUGUGCUAUUAGGGGUGUUAUUAGCCUAUUAGCUAAAGUUUGUAACUGGGAUUAUUCACAUAGGAAACAAAAAAAAAGUAGAGUUCUUGAUGUCUUCGAAGUAUCAUAACAAGUACCUUUUACUUUAAGAAAUUUAACAGUUGAUUAUGUUUAUUAUCGCUUGAGAAGAUGUUAUAUAUAAGUAAAAAUAAAAUAGUUUUAGUAUUAUGGACAUUGAGCUUCUAUUUUGUAAUAAUUUCCUUAUGUGAAAUUUGUUUUGAUUAAUUUUGACAGGAUUAACUAAGAACUAAAUGCUAACGCAUGAACAACCUUAUAAGUGUAGGAGAUUAAAGUUAUAAUGUUUAGAAAUGAUGUAUUGUCAUCCCACCAAGAGAAUGCACCUCGGGUGUCGUCAGUUUUUACUCCCACCCUAGAUGUUUUAUAUGCUAAAUGUUCUCCUACUUUUCUGUGCACAUGCGCAGUUCAUAAAUGUUUGGUAGUGGGGGCAAUUUCCGAGGUCUAUUCUCUUACUGGGACUACAAUACUAUUAAUUUGAUAAAAACAAUUUUUCUAUUCAUGGAGCGUUAUCUUUUCACUCAUAAUGUUCAUAAGUAUUUGGUUAUUUGUCUUAUUUAAAAUAUAGUGCUGCCAGAACCUGCGAUAUUUUUACCCCUUUCCGAGCGCCGUGCGCGCGGUGCACACACUCAAUUAUGUCUAUUGGUGUGUCAGGAAACCGAAAGAAGCCGAGAGAAACCGAGCGCUGUAGACAAGCGGAGGAGAAAUAUUGCUCCCACCAUGCGUCGUUUCAUACCCGCUCAGAGUUGCGUGAUCUGCACUUGAAUUUGAUUUUUUUUUUUUUUUAUUAUUUUGUAACGUAAUAAAUUUUUAAAUAUUUAUUUGUUCAAAUUUUUUAAUCAACUGAUAAUUAAAAAUUUUUUGAACAAAUUUAAA